UCCAGGCCCUACGGGGUGCAGCAGGCGCGAAACCUCCGCAAUGUGAGAAAUCGCGACGGGGGGAUCCCAAGUGCCAUUCUUAACGGGAUGGCUUUUCAUUAGUGUAAAGAGCUUUUGGAAUAAGAGCUGGGCAAGACCGGUGCCAGCCGCCGCGGUAACACCGGCAGCUCUAGUGGUAGCAGUUUUUAUUGGGCCUAAAGCGUCCGUAGCCGGUUUAAUAAGUCUCUGGUGAAAUCCUGCAGCUUAACUGUGGGAAUUGCUGGAGAUACUAUUAGACUUGAGAUCGGGAGAGGUUAGAGGUACUCCCAGGGUAGAGGUGAAAUUCUGUAAUCCUGGGAGGACCGCCUGUUGCGAAGGCGUCUGACUGGAACGAUUCUGACGGUGAGGGACGAAAGCUAGGGGCGCGAACCGGAUUAGAUACCCGGGUAGUCCUAGCUGUAAACGAUGCGGACUUGGUGUUGGGGUGGCUUUGAGCUGUCCCAGUGCCGAAGGGAAGCUGUUAAGUCCGCCGCCUGGGAAGUACGGUCGCAAGACUGAAACUUAAAGGAACUGGCGGGGGAGCACCACAACGCGUGGAGCCUGCGGUUUAAUUGGAGUCAACGCCGG
Molecule: ribosomal RNA, 606 nt
Filed under: uncultured archaeon
Lineage: Archaea
Description: bacterial SSU rRNA
Rfam family: Archaeal small subunit ribosomal RNA
Source: RNAcentral